CGCAGGGUAGAGCAGUCGGUUAGCUUGCUACUUUGACUUGGUAGAGGUCGUGGGUUCGAGUCCCACCCCUGCAA
RNAcentral lists this transfer RNA (74 nucleotides) under Caudoviricetes sp. RNAcentral's name for it is "tRNA-Val". It matches the Rfam family "tRNA". Rfam says of the family: Transfer RNA (tRNA) molecules are approximately 80 nucleotides in length. The record is from RNAcentral. Lineage: Duplodnaviria; Heunggongvirae; Uroviricota; Caudoviricetes.